Camelina sativa (false flax) is the source of this 405-nucleotide long non-coding RNA. RefSeq lists it as uncharacterized. The record is from RefSeq and is a predicted model, not a curated record. Lineage: Eukaryota; Viridiplantae; Streptophyta; Magnoliopsida; Brassicales; Brassicaceae.
UGGAAUCUGUGGGUACUUGCACGAUCUCAUCUAUAUCACCUGCUUUGUUCAGCUAGCUUCUAUCAUCUCUGGAAAGUUUUGGUACAUGUAUCUAGUGAUUCCUGCGUUUGGUGCGUACAAAGCUUCUGGUCUAAUUCGAGGAUUUAUGUCACAAGGCUCAGAGGAAGGUGUGGAAGAUGAAAAAACCCGUAAAAAGCGAGAGAAGAUGGAGAAGAAAGCUUCGAGAGGGCAAGUUGUCAGGACGAGAACAAGAUGAAUGCGUUUUUGUGGAAUACAACAUGAACUUGGGGAACGUUCUUUCUUCAAACUAUACAAAUGUAUCAACAGGUGAACUCUCUAGGUUCUGUUAUUCCCUUUUACAUUGACAUUGUCAGUCUAUACAAUAUUUUACUUUGAUGGGGAAUA